GAUUUCUGGUAUUUGUGGGGCUGGUCCGUGCCCUCUGGGUUUCGUGUAUCAGUUUCUACUUGCCAUCCUUCCAAGAAAGUGGCUAUGCCGUAAAACGUGUAGUUUCACGCUUGGAUCUUUUACUUUGAAAAAAUUAGAGUGUUUAAAGCAGGCUUACGCUAUGAAUACAUUAGCAUGGAAUAAUGAUUUAGGACUUUUGUCCUUUUGUUGGUUUUCUAGGACGAAAGUAAUGAUUGAUAGGGAUAGUUGGGGGUGCUAGUAUUUCGUCAACAGAGGUGAAAUUCUUGGACCGACGAAAGACUAACUUAUGCGAAAGCAUU
This 320-nucleotide ribosomal RNA is filed under the name uncultured Glissomonadida. Its description in RNAcentral is "SSU rRNA". The stretch from base 108 to 320 matches the Rfam family "Eukaryotic small subunit ribosomal RNA", at positions 740 to 955 of the family's 1831-position model. The record is from RNAcentral. Lineage: Eukaryota; Cercozoa; Glissomonadida.